This 102-nucleotide small nucleolar RNA is filed under the name Cavia porcellus (domestic guinea pig). RNAcentral's name for it is "Small nucleolar RNA U13". It matches the Rfam family "Small nucleolar RNA U13". Lineage: Eukaryota; Metazoa; Chordata; Mammalia; Rodentia; Caviidae. The record is from Rfam by way of RNAcentral.
AUCUUCAGGUUCAUAAGCGUGACGAUUGGGUGUUCGUGCUCCAUGCAUGACAUGUGCCUCCUUUGAACCUUGAUACGACAUCGGCACAUUACCCAUCUGACC